This 386-nucleotide ribosomal RNA is filed under the name uncultured bacterium. RNAcentral's name for it is "bacterial SSU rRNA". It matches the Rfam family "Bacterial small subunit ribosomal RNA", at positions 790 to 1167 of the family's 1533-position model. The record is from RNAcentral.
GUAGUCCUGGCCCUAAACGAUGUCCACUAGAUUGCGGCGGGUUUGACCCCGUCGCGGUCGAAGCAAAAGUGUUAAGUGGACCGCCUGGGAAGUACGGUCGCAAGGCUAAAACUCAAAGGAAUUGACGGGGGCUCACACAAGCGGUGGAGCAUGUGGUUCAAUUCGAAGCAACGCGCAGAACCUUACCUGGGCUUGACAUGCUAGGAUUACCCUCGUGAAAGCGAGGUACGCCCCGCAAGGGGUGGAACUAGUACAGGUGCUGCAUGGCUGUCGUCAGCUCGUGUCGUGAGAUGUCGGGUUAAGUCCCUUAACGAGCGAAACCUUUACCCUUAGUUACCAGCGGGUUAUGCCGGGGACUCUAAGGGGACCGCCGGUGUCAAACCGGA